AGUUUGAUUCUGGCUCAGGAUGAACGCUGGCGGCGUGCUUAACACAUGCAAGUCGAACGAAGCAGUUUAUUACGAUCCUUCGGGGUGACGAUUUACUGACUGAGUGGCGGACGGGUGAGUAACGCGUGGGUAACCUGCCUUGUACAGGGGGACAACAGUUGGAAACGACUGCUAAUACCGCAUAAGCGCACAGCUUCGCAUGAAGCAGUGUGAAAAGUAUUUUCGGUACAAGAUGGACCCGCGUCUGAUUAGCUAGUUGGUGAGGUAACGGCCCACCAAGGCGACGAUCAGUAGCCGACCUGAGAGGAUGACCGGCCACAUUGGGACUGAGACACGGCCCAAACUCCUACGGGAGGCAGCAGUGGGGAAUAUUGCACAAUGGGCGAAAGCCUGAUGCAGCCGACGCCGCGUGAGCGAAGAAGUAUUUCGGUAUGUAAAGCUCUAUCAGCAGGGAAGAUAAUGACGGUACCUGACUAAGAAGCACCGGCUAAAUACGUGCCAGCCGCGGC
Molecule: ribosomal RNA, 509 nt
Filed under: uncultured bacterium
Lineage: Bacteria
Description: bacterial SSU rRNA
Rfam family: Bacterial small subunit ribosomal RNA
Source: RNAcentral